Molecule: non-coding RNA, 71 nt
Organism: Parelaphostrongylus tenuis
Lineage: Eukaryota; Metazoa; Nematoda; Chromadorea; Rhabditida; Metastrongylidae
Source: the annotation of a GenBank genome assembly
AACUCUGUGGUGUAGUGGUAGUACGCGUCCCCGAUAUGGACGAAACGCGGGUUCGACUUUCGCCUGAGGUG